UUUCUGAUUAAGUAAUUAACGAUUGAUUAUUCAAAGAAAAAAAUAUUAAUAUUUUAUGUGUGAUUUCUGUUUAAUCCAGCCUUAUUCCUAAUAGGAAAAUAAUAUUUUUUGGUUAGCUUUUAUAUGUAAAGAUAUCAGCUGCCUUUAAAAUUUAGGAAAUGUUUAAAAGUCAGCUAUCAGGCUAACAUUUUCUGAAAACCUCAGUGCUGUUAACUCUUUGCACUCGAGGCUGUUUCCGCGCGGACCAACCAGCAACGCGAAACGUUUCGUAGCGCUUUUGGUGAAUUUCUUACCUCUAACUUAAAAUGAUUACACACAUAAAGUGACACAUAAAACUUUUAUAUUUUAAAAUGUAAUGUAUCUUGACAUUUUUACGAAGAUACUUUCUUAAACAUUAGUCUUUGUCUGAUAUUUAAUGUAACAAUCGAAUUUUCGCACCAUACAAAGGGGUGAGAGCGAGACUUAGCUCUCGACUUGCGGCACUAAAUCAUGUGGUGAGCGAGACUCAGCUCUCGAAUUGCGGCACUAAAUUGUGUGGUGAACGAGACUCAGCUCCCGAGUUGUGGUAUUAAAUUGUGUGGUGAGCGAGACUCAGCUCCCGAGUUGCGGUAUUAAAUUGUGUCGUGAACGAGACUCAGCUCUCGAGUGCAAGGAGCUAACUAACAAAUAGUUAUGGUUGGACUUACAUAUUUCAUUUUGUCAUUUUAUUUUACAUUUUUCAUCAUUUAUGGUUUAACAGCCUUAUUUAUAUUUGAAUUCAGUUCGCUGUUUAAAUUUUGUAAAUCAUGAAAUAGUGCUCCCAAAAAUAUGUAACUCUAUUAAUAAUGAAUUAAUACGCCGUUCAUACACAAACAAUUUGCCGAUUCCACAUUGCUUAUUUUAUGUGCUUUAUGUGGUAAUUUAAGAGUUUUUCAAUUUUAAAAUUUAUGGAGCUAAUUUCUGAAUAUAAAUAAAUUCGCCGACGUAUAAGUUUACUUUUAUUUAUUUUAUUAAAUUAUUUUAAAGUGUUUGAGCUUAAUUCUAAAAUUCUAAUAAUAAUUCUAAAAAUAGAGGUGUUGUAGAGGAGGGAGAAAUAUUUGACAAAGAGAAAUAGUAGGCUGUAAAAAAGUGAAAGUAUAAGGAGAAGAGCAAGAAAGUAUUAGGAGAGUACGCAUACAUACAUAUGUAUACGUGCGUACUAGCAACUUUGUUGCGCAAAAUAAUGUAAGAGUUCGUUUUUAAAGCGGAAUGCCUUCAGCUGGUUUUGAUCUUUUGUGGCAGAGCGUGCCAAAGACGAAUAGCAAAAGCGAGGAACUGAGAUUGAAUUCAAGUAGAAAAUUUAAAUUUGUUUGCAAUUUUUUACAAACAAUAACACAAAUUCGAACACAAGGCGAUAGCCAAAGAUAUACAAGUAAUUGAUUGCUGCUACAUAAACAUAAAAAAAUUUUUUUAAUUCAUUCACUCUGAACGUAUACUGUAAAGCUUAAGUGACUUUUGUAUAUAAAACUAAAUAUUUUUACUUAAAAAAUUUUCUACUCGAAAAUUCAUGGCAUAACUAAAUAUUGUAUACUAAAAAGCCAAUUCAGAAACAAAAGUUUAGGCCUAGCAAUUUUUCACAAACAGUUCAGAACAUAAUUAGUGAAAUACGCCACGUGUUGUAAUUGAGUCUACGUUUAAGUUACAAGUAAAAUUUAGGACAUGCAAAAAUAUUCGGUGUUUUAAAUACUACUAAAAACAAAAACAAAAACGAUGAAAAAUAAGGCAAACAGUGUGUGUAAGUCAAGUGGUAAAAAUUGAGUAAAUAAAAAAUACAACAAAAACAAAGUAAGCAUUAUUAUAAUUAAAAUAGUACAAAAUAAUGGAAUAAGUAACGGCAUUUGAAUUUUUCAAAAACAACAAAAAAAGUAGCAUUUUUUUCGUCUUUCUAAUUGAAAGAAAAAUCAGAGAGAGAGAGAGAGAGAGAGGAGAGAAUUUUGAGUUGAGCGCUAAAGUCACACGGUAAAAAUUAUGAGAUGGCAGAAAGAACCGCUACAAAAUAGUGAGAGAAAAAUAUUGAACACAAAAACUUUUUGGAAUAUGACAAGUACAAAAUUUCAGGUAAUAUUUGCUUAUAGCAAAAAACAAAAAAAAAAACAACAACAAAAGAAUGAAAACAAGAAAACAUAAACAAAAAAUAGCGGAAUAUAAAUUAAAAUAAUUACGAAAUAAGUAAAAUUUUGCGUAAGCGCAUCUAAGACAAAAUUGUACAAAUUUUUUGGCUAAAAUAAAAUAAUGAAAUUUUUUUUAAGAAAUUGCAAACAGUGUGACGUUAGUGUGAGAUUUUGAAUAAAUUAAUAUUAGAUAAAGAAAAACAUAAGUUAAAUUUAAGCAAAUUUAAAUUGAGUUGACUUUAGUUCGAGUUGAUUUGACAGUUUAGCAUAAAAAGUACAAUAUUUGUUCUAAUUAUUUUAUAUUUCCAUUUACUUUUUUGCACUUGAGUUACACAUGGCUGAAUGAUAAAUUUUUAAAUGUAAUAAAUCGAAAGUUCUGAACUGCUGCGAAAAAUCACAAAAUUUACAUGUAAAAAACGGGAUUGUACAGUAUAGCUGAAAAGUUUUCGUAUAUGUUUCUGGAAAAGAAGAAAAAUGAAAAAUUAAAUACUGAGGAGCAAAUUGUAAAAAUAAUUAUUAUAUAAUUUUUUUCAUUGUAAUAUAAAAUAAAAGCUAACACAUGCAUUCACACAUACAUUCAUUCGGAGAUAUGCACAUACAUCAGUUUCUAAUCAUAAAACUACUGUUAUAAGCGAAAAAAUAUAUUAUAUAUGAAAAUAUAUAUACCACAAACUCAGGGCAUUCGAAGAGACUCACUGCAAGACGAAGCAACAACAUAUUGCAUUUACAGUGUAUAAUAAAAUACGAAAAAAUGGAUUAGGUAAUGGCAAACAUUUUUUUUAAAUACGUACACACAAACAUGUUUUUUUAAUACAUACAUACAUACAUACGCACUGGGAAGAAAAUAUAAUAUUACAAAAAACAAAAAAAUGGAAAAGGUAAAUUUUAAAUUUAUUACGCUUCAAGCGAAACAUUUUACGAUUUUUCACACACAAUUCUCACAAAAUUGUCGUUAACAUUUAAACAAAGCACUCCCUUGCAUUCAUUUUGCAGUUUGUACCGCAUGGAAGUGGUGGCAAUUGAGCGAAGCGAGUAGCCGGUGGAAAGUUGAUUUAGUUAAUUUUCAGAAUUAUUUUAUGGUGAAAAUUGCUGCUUUAAAAUUUACCGUGAAGGUAAAACCAUGUUUUUUUUGUGCCUAAAAUAAUAACUGUACAUUUUUUUUUAUCAGAGUGAGGAAUAAACGACUGGCUACUCAGUUCACAGCUCAAAUUCUUACAUACAUACGCAUUUACGCCAUUCAUAUUUGCUAUUAGUUUUCAUUAAAUGCUAAUUUUUUCGGAUUAAAAGCGGCAUCAAAACGUUUUUGAGACUUCUUUGAGACUUGUAAAAGUAAAAAGAGCUUAAUAAUUUCUUGAGUAAAAUCAAAUUUUGUAAUCUGCUCAAUAUUAACAACUUUUAUUUGCCAUCUUUCUAUUAAUAUUUACUAAUUACCUAACUUUAAUGUGACGUAAAAUAAUUGCAUAUUCUUCCAUCUACAACCGAUACUGGCUACUUACAUUUGUAUACGAAAUUAAACACAUACAAACAUGCAUACAUAAAACUACAUUUCAUGAGAAAGCGUCGGAGUUUGUAAAUUUUAUAUGAACCGAAUUCAAUUAAGCACUCACUAAUAAAUUCAUAUUUCAAAAUGUUUGCGAGCAUUAAAUUUUAUACCAAACCUCCUGGAACACCCAAUAAUAAAUCUGUAGUUCGAAAGUAAUUGCUAAGAUAAAAGUAUUUAUGUAUGUAAUUAAACAGUGUAU
Molecule: long non-coding RNA, 3871 nt
Organism: Anastrepha ludens (Mexican fruit fly)
Lineage: Eukaryota; Metazoa; Arthropoda; Insecta; Diptera; Tephritidae
Exons: 2
Source: RefSeq, a predicted model, not a curated record